Mus musculus (house mouse) is the source of this 1600-nucleotide long non-coding RNA. RefSeq annotates it as predicted gene, 36797. The transcript is spliced from 3 exons. The record is from RefSeq and is a predicted model, not a curated record. NCBI's taxonomy places the organism in Eukaryota, Metazoa, Chordata, Mammalia, Rodentia, Muridae.
UGUAAACACAGUUGAUGCCAGCACAGCAGUGAGCUUGAGAAAGCAGAGUUUCAGAGCCCAGCACCUAGAACUGCCAGCCCGGGGCUUAUGGAGAGACCUCAAGAGUAACUUAAAUGAAUGAUAAACUAUGACGACGGCUAAAGAAGAGGCAGGAGUGGAUGAAGCAGCCCACGCACGGUUCCUUGCUUUGCUGCCCCUCCUCACAGUGUCCCUGAGGGGAAACUGCUGAGGUCACCUGAAGAGCCUCCAGAGCCUGAGCAAAGCAACAUGAGAUCCGAACUCAGGGGACACGGAGGAGCCAAGAGAUAUGAGACCCGUGGUCCAAACUCGGGGGAUGCAGAGAGGCUGAGAGAAAGGUCUGCCACCAUCAGCAGCUGGCAGCUGUCUAGGAUUUAUUUAACUUUCCUGUGCGUGUGUGUGAGUCCAUCUGUCCAUCUGUCUAUCUGUCUGUCCAUCCUUCUGUUCUGUGAACACUCUCCUACAGAAGCCAGAAGAGGAUGUCCGAUACCCUGGAGCUGGAGUUACAGAUGAUCCCAAUCCUGAUCGGCUUGGGACUCAGGUUCCACGGAGUCUUUUCAAUCCGAAGGCAGGACCGACUGACGGCUACCGUGAAAGAUUACUUUGAGAAUAUUCUUGACUAACCUUAAGGAUUAGAACAUAAGUAAGAAAAACACACAGGCUUCAAAAAUGCCAGUAAAUUGAUUCCAAGGAAAAACAACAAAUAGGAAACCCCUGUGUGCAAAGUGAGAGUAACAGGCCCCUCCCCGGGUCUUCCAGGCUGUGACGUGCUACCUCCUGUUAUAUUUCCGUUCUCCACAGAAGGAACCUGAGACACAGACAUUGUUUAAGACACAGAAGUGGUGAAGCAAAGCCUAGGUCACAUCACCAAACACAACCAAUCAUGACCAGACCCUCGAGCAGGUCUCCUCAGCUCUCUCAGUCUAUUAGAAGAGCACCGCGCAAGCAAGCUUGCUACCCUGGCUUUCCUCUCAAGAUCAAUGUUGUGAUUCAAACCAGGGGCCAAAGAAGGUUAGGCUCCGUGUCUUUUCUUUGCUUCUUCUGUCGCUACCAGCUUCCAGAAUAAGAUUCCCCCAAAGGUAUAGUGCUCUCCCUCCUGACCUAACCCCACCCCACUGCCCAACCCAACAAAGGGCUAUGACUUCUAAGUCAGAAACAUGCCAGUGAAGCAAGACCUGGGUUGCUAUGGGAGGUCUAAGAGUCAAGGACCAGCUAAGAUAGUUUCUAGGGGGUUCUACAACAGGCUUCAGCUCUGAUGGUGGAGGUUGUGACUGGAGCUAUCAGGAUUGUUUGUUUCACAAUCAUAUGAUUCUCACUGGCUAACGUGAGCCAGACACUGCAUUUUGGACCCAGAAAGCUCUAGAAAGACUCUGUUUGCAACAUAAGGUGAUGGCGCCCUCUAGUGUCCGCAGCAUUUUGCAGAAACCUACCAGGCUCCUUUGUGGUGACCUUGAACAUUGAGCAGGUGGCAGCUUCAAGGUGGGCACUACCUCACAUCACGCCCAGAGGUGAAGAAAACAAGCCUGAACCACAGGGGUGGUGAAACUCAAGACCCUCUAUGGGCCACUCUGCAGAUCCGAGA